Molecule: ribosomal RNA, 454 nt
Filed under: uncultured bacterium
Lineage: Bacteria
Description: bacterial SSU rRNA
Rfam family: Bacterial small subunit ribosomal RNA
Source: RNAcentral
GCACAAGCGGUGGAGCAUGUGGCUUAAUUCGAAGCAACGCGAAGAACCUUACCAGGGCUUGACAUGCAGGUGAAUAGAGUAGAGAUAUUCUAGUCCUUCGGGACACCUGUGCAGGUGGUGCAUGGUUGUCGUCAGCUCGUGUCGUGAGAUGUUGGGUUAAGUCCCGCAGCGAGCGCAACCCCUGUUGUUAGUUGCCAGCAUUAAGUUGGGCACUCUAGCGAGACUGCCGGUGACAAAUCGGAGGAAGGUGGGGACGACGUCAAGUCAUCAUGGCCCUUACGGCCUGGGCUACACACGUGCUACAGUGGUCGGUACAGAGGGUUGCCAAGCCGCGAGGUGGAGCUAAUCCCAGAAAACCGAUCGUAGUCCGGAUCGCAGUCUGCAACUCGACUGCGUGAAGUCGGAAUCGCUAGUAAUCGCAGAUCAGCACGCUGCGGUGAAUACGUUCCCGGGC